This 493-nucleotide ribosomal RNA is filed under the name uncultured bacterium. RNAcentral's name for it is "bacterial SSU rRNA". It matches the Rfam family "Bacterial small subunit ribosomal RNA", at positions 903 to 1397 of the family's 1533-position model. The record is from RNAcentral.
AAAUGAAUAGACGGGGGCCCGCACAAGCGGAGGAGCAUGUGGCUUAAUUCGAUGCAACGCGAAGAACCUUACCCGGGUUUGACAUGUGACUGCACGCUCUGUGAAAGCAGAGUUCCUUCGAGGGUGUCACACAGGUGCUGCAUGGCUGUCGUCAGUUCGUGCCGUGAGGUGUUUGGUUAAGUCCAGCAACGAACGCAACCCCUGUGUCCAGUUGCCAACGGGUAAUGCCGGGAACUCAGGACAGACUGCCCGUUUACACGGGAGGAAGGUGGGGACGACGUCAAGUCAGUAUGGCCCUUACAUCCGGGGCUGCACACGUGCUACAAUGGUCGGUACAAAGAGAGGCAAAUCCGCAAGGUGGAGCAAAUCUCUAAAACCGGCCCCAGUUCAGAUUGCGGUCUGCAACUCGACCGCAUGAAGUCGGAUUCGCUAGUAAUGGCGCAUCAGCUACGGCGCCGUGAAUACGUUCCCGGGCCUUGUACACACCGCCCGU